GUGGCUGUAGUUUAGUGGUGAGAAUUCCACGUUGUGGCCGUGGAGACCCGGGCUCGAAUCCCAGCAGCCACA
RNAcentral lists this transfer RNA (72 nucleotides) under Triticum aestivum (bread wheat). It matches the Rfam family "tRNA". From Rfam's summary of the family: Transfer RNA (tRNA) molecules are approximately 80 nucleotides in length. Their secondary structure includes four short double-helical elements and three loops (D, anti-codon, and T loops). Lineage: Eukaryota; Viridiplantae; Streptophyta; Magnoliopsida; Poales; Poaceae. RNAcentral also lists the same sequence under 1 other name. The record is from Rfam by way of RNAcentral.